Molecule: ribosomal RNA, 920 nt
Filed under: uncultured marine bacterium
Lineage: Bacteria
Description: bacterial SSU rRNA
Rfam family: Bacterial small subunit ribosomal RNA
Source: RNAcentral
AGAGUUUGAUCCUGGCUCAGAACGAACGCUGGCGGCAGGCCUUAAUACAUGCAAGUCGAGCGCGCCCUUCGGGGUGAGCGGCGGACGGGUUAGUAACGCGUGGGAACGUGCCCUUUCUCUAAGGAAUAGCCACUGGAAACGGUGAGUAAUACUUUAUACGCCCCCCAAUCAAAUUCCAUUUGGUUGACGGAAAUUCUGUUGAAUGCCGGAUGGCAUUUGAUGGGGGGGAAAGAUUUAUCGGAGAAGGAUCGGCCCGCGUUAGAUUAGAUAGUUGGUGGGGUAAUGGCCUACCAAGUCUACGAUCUAUAGCUGGUUUUAGAGGAUGAUCAGCAACACUGGGACUGAGACACGGCCCAGACUCCUACGGGAGGCAGCAGUAGGGAAUCUUGGACAAUGGGCGCAAGCCUGAUCCAGCCAUGCCGCGUGAGUGAAGAAGGCCUUAGGGUCGUAAAGCUCUUUCGCCUGUGAUGAUAAUGACAGUAGCAGGUAAAGAAACCCCGGCUAACUCCGUGCCAGCAGCCGCGGUAAUACGGAGGGGGUUAGCGUUGUUCGGAAUUACUGGGCGUAAAGCGCGCGUAGGCGGAUUGGAAAGUUAGAGGUGAAAUCCCGGGGCUCAACCCCGGAACGGCCUUUAAAACUCCCAGUCUAGAGUUCGAGAGAGGUGAGUGGAAUUCCAAGUGUAGAGGUGAAAUUCGUAGAUAUUUGGAGGAACACCAGUGGCGAAGGCGGCUCACUGGCUCGAUACUGACGCUGAGGUGCGAAAGUGUGGGGAGCAAACAGGAUUAGAUACCCUGGUAGUCCACACCGUAAACGAUGAAUGCCAGUCGUCGGAUAGUAUACUAUUCGGUGACACACCUAACGGAUUAAGCAUUCCGCCUGGGGAGUACGGUCGCAAGAUUAAAACUUAAAGGAAUUGACGG